RNAcentral lists this ribosomal RNA (702 nucleotides) under uncultured bacterium. Its description in RNAcentral is "bacterial SSU rRNA". It matches the Rfam family "Bacterial small subunit ribosomal RNA", at positions 69 to 773 of the family's 1533-position model. The record is from RNAcentral.
GGAUUCGUCUGAUCAAGUGAUAUCUUAGUGGCGGACGGGUGAGUAACGCGUGGAGAACCUGCCUCUUUCCGGGGGAUAGCAGUUGGAAACGACUGGUAAUACCGCAUGAGCGCACGGUACCGCAUGGUAUAGUGUGAAAAGAUUUAUCGGGGAGAGAUGGCUCCGCGUCUGAUUAGCCAGUUGGCGGGGUAACGGCCCACCAAAGCGACGAUCAGUAGCCGGCCUGAGAGGGCGGACGGCCACAUUGGGACUGAGACACGGCCCAGACUCCUACGGGAGGCAGCAGUGGGGGAUAUUGCACAAUGGGGGGAACCCUGAUGCAGCGACGCCGCGUGAGUGAAGAAGUGUUUCGACAUGUAAAGCUCUAUCAGCAGGGAAGAAAGGCCCUUUAAGGGAGAUGACGGUACCUGACUAAGAAGCCCCGGCUAACUACGUGCCAGCAGCCGCGGUAAUACGUAGGGGGCAAGCGUUAUCCGGAUUUACUGGGUGUAAAGGGAGCGCAGACGGCAAUGCAAGUCUGAUGUGAAAACCCGGGGCUUAACCCCGGGCCUGCAUUGGAAACUGUAUAGCUGGAGUAUCGGAGAGGUGAGCGGAAUUCCUGGUGUAGCGGUGAAAUGCGCAGAUAUCAGGAAGAACACCGGCGGCGAAGGCGGCUCACUGGACGACAACUGACGUUGAGGCUCGAAAGCGUGGGUAGCAAAC